CGCUGCUGUUUAAAAUCCAAAUCAGGGUAGUCCCCGGAAGGCUUAACGGGAGCUUGGAUUUAGAACAGUUGAUCUCCAUUGAAACGGAAACUUGGAAGGUCUCCUAGUCGAUUGACAAUGGCUGGAAACAGGGCCUAAGAUGUAGAAGUGAAUUACAGCUUGCAGGCGGCGGGUGGAGAGGAGGAAACAGCUGCCUGCAAUGAAUGCUAACAGCGCUGUUAGCUGGCACGAAGGGAACUGAGGUUCCAGAGAUUCCAAAGAUUGUUUCUCUGGUUUGUUGUGGGCCAUUCAAUUGACCAGCGGUUAUUUUUGUUUCUCUCCCUAACCCAGGCUUGAAAUUGAAACAGGAGUUACCCUAGAGGCCCUUAGUCAGCCUGCCGAAGAAGACCUUGCAGUCAAACCGCAGCUCGUUUCUGCUGGAGCAGAUGCAAACUGGAGCUGAUGUGGUCAUUGGGGUUUGUUGCACCCCACAAGCUCACCCCCCGUGAGAGGCAUGUGCAGGACCGAAGGGCUGGUACCCAAAGAAAACGCUGGAAGAUUGCUGAGCUGACCUAUCAGGUGUAGUCUCUCCUAGGACUUGAGAACACACAGCUUGCUUUGCUUGGACAUUACAGAAAGCUAUUGGGCCGGGCUCAGGGCUACAGCCACUACAAAACCCACGGGACUAUGGCAUCCACUGUCUGUUCUUUGCUGUGUUCACUCCCAUCACCAAGGGAAAACACGGUUAUCCUCCUUCUCUACCACUGUUUCUGCCCCAAACAAUCCUCUCCUAGUAGGCCAAACUCCCCAGACUUGCCAGAGGAAGGGAAAAUCUCUUCUGUAUGCACAGAAUUUUCUAAUUAGACCACUCUGCCCUGCCUUGUCCCAGACCUCUCUGCUAAUUGCUGAGAGUUUUCAGUUCCUUGUACUUGGGAGAGUUCAUUUCUUUCAGUACUUGCUGGUGGCAGAAACUGGCCACAGCUCCUAUUCAGGGACUACAUCUCCCACUGAGAUCUUUGUGGACUCUGUUUCUUUAGGGUGCAGGGAUGGAGAGCCUGUAUUGAUUGAAUUGUUUCAUCCCCCCAAGAUAUGUGCUGAAUUCCUGGCCCUGGUACUUGUGGAUGUAAUUGUAUGUGGAAACAGGGAUUUUCUUUUGUUAUGUUAAUGAGGGUGGUAGUAGGGGAAAUACUAAACCUAAUUGCUUCUGAGUUGUAAAAAGACCAGAAUGGACACAGGCACACAUAUCGGGGAAGACAGACACCAAGCUCUUCUCGUCUACAGAUUAAGGAGCAAAGGAACACCGGGGCUACCAACAAGGAAGGAAUUGACAGGGCUGAGACCCUGAUUUGGACUUUUAGCCUCCAGAACUGUGAGAAAAUAAAUUUCUGUUCGUUAAAGCUACCCAUUUGUGGUAUUUGUAUUACAGCAGCACUAGACGACUAAGACAGCCACUGGCUUUUUGGUAGGAAGCGAGAAGCUUCCAGGUUGAGUACAACCUGAAAUGGUUUUCCCCUCUGCACAGAAACCAUUGAUAUUUCCUGUUCUGCAAUGACAAACACCCCGCCUUGUGGCUGCCAGAUAUGGGUUUGGUUGUUUAACACCUUCAGGCUUACUGGGGAGGUGGGUGGGGAGGAGUGGGGGUGGGGAUUUACCCUUUCACAAAGGCUCCGUCUACAGAAUGCUGCCUACAAAACCCUUCUUGCCUCUGUCGCCUUGGAGUACAGAGCUGCCACUCUCCCUCUUUGCGGAACCCUGUCUAUGCUCUGCACCACCUCAGUUUCCCCAUGUAUGAACCUAGAAUAACAUUAGUACCUACCUCACAGGGUUUUUGUGAUGAUUAAACGAGUUCAUUAAUGUUAAGUGCUUAGAACAGUGCUUGGAACGUAGCAAAGGUUGAAUAAAGAUUGGUUUUUAAUAUCAUAUUGCUUGGGGGUGGGAUGAGAGGAUUGAUGAAAAUUCUGGGGAAGACUCUAGCUUGUCCAAAGCUCUCAUCACUUUCUUUUGUUCUCAAUUUUAAAUGAAAGUCUGUCCCAGAGGACAUCUCUGCUACUUUCCCUAUCUCCCACUCCUCCAGACUCUGGGUAAGGUGCUCUGCCUCUAUGCUCCCUAGAGCCCUGUACUCAUAGAUAAGUGUAGGAUAAAAUCCCUGUGUAUUUUUCUGUGUCCCUCCCUAGAUGAUAAGCCUAAUGUGAAAGCCAGGAGGGAUACGUCUUAUUCAUUGCCACAUACCCAGCACUUAGUACAAAGCCUAGCACAUUGUGGACCCCCAAUAGUUGCUGAGCCUGGUUAUGAAGAUACAAUUCCAGUGGUACAACCAAUGUCUGGAGGGCAUGGGAAACCCCUUCAUAAUUCAGGUAAGAGUCACUGUAAGUAUUUCCCAUGGAGGGUAGCAGAGUCCCAAAGAAGAGGCCAGAGCACCAUCGUGGGAAAUCAAGAGUGGAAGGUGCUGAAGAAGCAGGUGAGUGGGCAGUCAUUUGGAAGUUCUGUCCUCAGAGAUCAGUGUCCCAGGCACUGGCCUGGGGUCUAGGGCCAGGAUUCUUUUCAGGAAAGGGACUAUGAAGAGCAGGAGAGAAUAGCAGGCCCCCAGCCUAGACCUGGUCCUGGGAAAAGCUGGCCACCAGGCUGCACAGGAGCCCACUGGUUGCCACUGGGGGCACUGGUCCUGGCUGAAACUGGGAACAGAAAUGGGUCCAUAUGUUCUCAGACAUUAUGCUCAGGGGCCUGGAGGGGCCUGGAGGGAGACUGUAUUAUACUAUGUCAGUUAAAUCCUCCAGUUUCCUGCCUCAGAAUGGUCUCUAGUGCUUGAUAAAAAUCAGAUUCCUAGGUCCCAUCUUGGACUUACAGAAAUAAAAAUAUCUGGAGGUUAGGUCUCAGGUCUGAGAAUCUUAAGUGGGUUAACAAUGGGUUCAUAUGCAAGCUGCUGAGGCAGGCAGAACCAGGGGAAAUGAGGUGGAUUGACAUUGGAAUCAGCCUGAAAACUCCCUGUCUUUGGACUAAUUCUCAUCAAGUAGAAGAGCUGUUUGGGGAGUAGUAGAAAUGGGGUGGACUCUCUAAUCUGAAAGUCUAAAAUUGCUGAGGAAGGGCAUCUGGGCUUCUUCUGACAUUCCCUCAGUACUCUUAAGAUAAAGAGAUUUCAACAUUUCAGAGAAUGAAAAAGAGAAACACACAGGUAUAAUCUAAAGACCCAAUCAUGAGGGACAGGUGACUUUCAGAAAGAAAAUUCUGAUAACCCAAGUGAAAGCGGUCCUGAAUAAAGGAGUUAUUGAGACUGCCAAGAGAGCUCUUUGUUGAGCUCUUAAAGGGUUAUGCUGAACUAUUGGUGGGAGGGGGUAUGUAAUCAACAAGGAAUAAAGUCUACAAAAAGAAGAGUGAAAUGAAUCAUAAAAUUUCUAAGGGCAAGAAGAUGGGCUUUGUUAGACAAGUGUAGAGCAAGAGAACAAAUGAGGAAGAAUCACCACAUGAGGCAGAAGAUAUAUAUAUAUACACAUAUGGCAGUCCAUAGUGUAUUCAAUAUUCUUCACAAACGCCAUAGUUCAAAGGCCUUCAGUAUGGAUUACACCUCAACAUAAAGAAAGCAAAAGCCCUCACAACUGGACCAAUAAGCAAUGUCAUGAUAAACGGAGAAAAGAUUGAAGUUGCCAAGGAUUUCAUUUCACUUGGAUCCACAAUCAAGACUGGCUUUUAAAUACAUUGACCCAGAAGUGAUGUCACCUGCAUUCAUAGCCAUUGGCCAGAGGAAGUCACAUGACCCCAAUCCAGUUGCAAGGGAGGCUGGGAAAAGUAAGGAAGUACGUGGAAUAUUUCAUGACAACUACCUUUGCCACAAUGUGCUUAUUGAGUCUAUGUAUGUCAUAAAGCAUGAAUGGUUAGUUAAUAUGUUCGAUAGGAGAAUUUAAAUUAAAAAAAUAUCUCAUGGUGGAAGGGUAUACCUAAACCAACAAAUAGAUAUUUAAGAGGAUUAAAUAUAAAGUUCUAAGUUAAAAAUGAACCAUCCUGUUAGGGGGCACUGAGUUUCUCCUAGGAGUACCUGGGUGGUAAAAGUGGUUAAGCACUUGACUACUUACCAAAAGGUUGGUGCUUUGAAUGUGCCCAGAGGCACCUCAGAAGACAGACUUGGCAAUUUGCUUCUGAAAGGUCACAGCCUUGAAAGCUCAGUCAAGCACAAUCCUACUCUGCCACACAUGCGCUCACCAUGAGUCAUAAUAGACUCAACAGCAACUGGUUUGAUUUUUUUUUUUUUUUUUAAUUUUCUGUUAAUGGUGGUGGAAUAAUUUGGAAGUGGUUAGUAGGGAUGACUGCAAAACAUGAUAAAUGUAACCAAUGUCACUAUAUCAUACAUGUGAAAAAUGUUGAUUGGCAAAUGUUAAGUUAUAUAUGUUUUUUCCGUAAUAAGACAAUUUUUAGAAUGAGCUGUUCUAGUACAAGGUAAAAAAAAAAAUCUUGCUUGACACAUUGCAAGUAAAAAGAAUCAAAGCUAAAUGAUUUUAGUUAAACAUAUGUUCACUAUGAAUUAUUAGGGCCUGCCGAAGCUCAGCAUUAAUGUAUACAUAGAAUUUAGAAUAAAGUAGAUAACAACACCUCUGUUCUCUGGGCUGGUUGCACCAUAUCUACUAGUGGGUUUGGAAUCACGGCUGCUUUUUUUUUUUUCUUUUCUUCAAUUUUGCCUCUUUUUUUCUAAUUAUUGUAUUAUUUUUUUUAUUGCGCUUUAGGUGAAAGUUUACAGAGCAAACCAUUUUCUCACUAAACAAUUAAUACACAUAUUGUUUUGUGACAUUGCUUGCCAAACCCGUGUUAUGUCAACACUCUCCUCAACCUCUGGUUCCCCAUUUCCGUUCAUCCAGCUUUCCUGUCCCUUCUCACCUUCUCCUCUUUGCCUUUGAGCUGGUGUGCCCAUUUAGUCUCAAAUGCAUGGUUGAACUAUUCCUGUUAUUGUUUGUUUUAUAGGCCUGUCUAAUCUUUGGCUGAAGGGUGAACUUCAGGAUUGACUUCGGCACAGAGUUAAAAGGGUGUCUGUUCGAGGGCCAUACUCUGGGAGAUGCUCCAGUCUCUGUGAAACCAGUAGGGCGUCUUUUUUGGAUCAGAGUUCGCUCUCCACUCUACACCCUCUGUCACCUGACCUACGGAUCUUGGGAUGCAAGCCUGCAGGAGUCUCCAUCCACUGCCUGACCUACAGAUUUUCAGACUCGUCAGCCCCUCUACACUUCCAUCAGCCAGCAGGUAUCCACAGCGUGUCACCUGACCUAUGGAUUUUGGACUUGUGAGCACUCACAGUCGAGUGAGCAAAUCCCUUAAUGUAAAUCUCUCUUUCUCUCUCUUGCUCUUUCUCUACAUGUCUCACUGAUUCUGUUUCUCUUGAAAAUUGAACAAUACACCGUCCAAGCUUCUUCACCAGAUUUCUUUCCUCACCUCACUUAACCUGUGGCAAUCUGGCUUACAUAACUACCUCCCCACUUUUCAGUCUUAUCUUCAUGUCUCUGCAGCUUUGCCUCUGUUUAUAACUCCCCCCCCCCUUUUCAGUGUCCAUAAAUAGUUUUAUUGGAACACAGCCACGCUCACUGGUACAUGUUGUCUAUGACUGCUCUUGCACUAACCCUAACCCUAACCCUAACCCUAACCCUAACCCUAACCCUAACCCUAACCCUAACCCUAACUCUAACCCUAACCCUAACCCUAACCCUAACCCUAACCCUAACCCUAACCCUAACCCUAACC
This is a long non-coding RNA of Loxodonta africana (African savanna elephant), 5691 nucleotides long. RefSeq lists it as uncharacterized. NCBI's taxonomy places the organism in Eukaryota, Metazoa, Chordata, Mammalia, Proboscidea, Elephantidae. The record is from RefSeq and is a predicted model, not a curated record. The transcript is spliced from 3 exons.